RNAcentral lists this ribosomal RNA (301 nucleotides) under uncultured bacterium. RNAcentral describes it as "partial 16S ribosomal RNA". It matches the Rfam family "Bacterial small subunit ribosomal RNA", at positions 509 to 807 of the family's 1533-position model. The record is from RNAcentral.
CAGCCGCCGCGGGAAUACGAAGGGUGCAAGCGUUACUCGGAAUUACUGGGCGUAAAGCGUGCGUAGGUGGUGGUUUAAGUCCGUUGUGAAAGCCCUGGGCUCAACCUGGGAAUUGCAGUGGAUACUGGCUCGCUAGAGUGUGUCAGAGGAUGGUGGAAUUCCCGGCGUAGCGGUGAAAUGCGUAGAGAUCGGGAGGAACAUCAGUGGCGAAGGCGGCCAUCUGGGACAACACUGACGCUGAGGCACGAAAGCGUGGGGAGCAAACAGGAUUAGAUACCCGAGUAGUCCCUGUCUCUUAUAC